GUGUUUUAUGUAAUUGUGUAUCAAUGUAUAUUAUUUAGAAUUUUUUUUUUACAAAUUACUUAACAAGUAAUUGAUUUUACCGUAUUUUUUUUUUGUAUAUACCUAGGCUAGUUGUAUGACGUGCACAUUUGACAUUGAUUUCUUAAUUUUUUGCUUAUCAGCACUACCAUUAACAUUAUGAUUAAUUUUAUGUGUGAUUUUAUAUCAUGCAUUUGUAUUAUAAAUGGUUUGAUUUUGUACCAGAUGUAAAUUAAAUUGUUUUGAAAAAAAAUAUACAAUAUAGUGAUUUUAGACUAUAAUUUUUUUGUUUGUAAAUUAUUAGAUUGGAAUAAACCUCUAAUGGUUCCAUUAAACUUUUUUUUAAAAUUAUAAUUAGAUCAGAGUAUCAAAUUAUUGGUGUAGAACUGUGAAGAUAACAUACUAUAUUUAAAGUAGCACUAUCAUAUAGAUAUAAUGUGUUGAAAUUUAAUUCAGAAAAAAAUCUAGGCUACAAAUAAUGUCUAAAAUCAUAUUACUCGAAAAAUAAUGAAACCUAGUUUACUUCUUAUUAAGUGCAAUAAGAACAAAGUAAAGUACCUUUUUUCUUUCCCAGUGAGAGAAGAUUUUCAAAAAAAGUUAAACCAAUUUUUUAACAGCGAGUAUAAUAUAUAUCUAGGUGCCUUAAGAGGGCUCCACACCCGCAUGUGUCUCCGUCUACAGGCAAUUUUGGAAAUUUUACUCUUAUUUAAUAUUUUUUAAAUUAGAGUGAAUAACCCAUGGACCAGGAUACGAUUUAAAGGUCAGAAUAAAAAAACAAAAUCUGUGAAUGGCAGGGCUAUCUAGUAAGGCAGUGACGGCCAUGUGUAUGUCGAAAAGUUAGAGGAAAAUAGCACGCCGUUAUAGUUCGGACACAGAAAUUACUUUGACUGUUUAAAUUUGUAAGUGUUUUUAGUUUUUGUAAAAUGUUUAUAGUAACUAUUGAAAUUAAUAUGAUUAAUUAAAUAAUCUUUAUUAGUUUAUAGAUCUGACUUUUCUAAGUACACGAAAAUAUCGAGAUUAAAAUCCAUAAGUACAAAUUUAAAGUGUAUUUUUGUAUGCUACUUAGGUACCGGGGGUAUGGGGAGAGCCCCCUAUAAGCCCUAUAAGACUUUUAUCAACAAAUAUUUUAAAUUAAAAUUUCAAAUUCAUAAAUUAUUACAAAAAUACAAAAUGAAACCAAGUUAUGUCAUAGUUGUAUCUUGUAUUAGUAUAUAAUUAGUUUGUUACUCGGUAAGCAAUAAGCAUAAUUUAAAAAUAAAUGGUUUUUUCAUUUUCA
Long non-coding RNA from Myzus persicae (green peach aphid), 1294 nucleotides. RefSeq lists it as uncharacterized. The record is from RefSeq and is a predicted model, not a curated record. Lineage: Eukaryota; Metazoa; Arthropoda; Insecta; Hemiptera; Aphididae. The transcript has 2 exons.